GUCCACGCCGUAAACGGUGGGCGCUAGGUGUGGGGCACUUUCCACGUGCUCUGUGCCGCAGCUAACGCAUUAAGCGCCCCGCCUGGGGAGUACGGCCGCAAGGCUAAAACUCAAAGGAAUUGACGGGGGCCCGCACAAGCGGCGGAGCAUGCGGCUUAAUUCGAAGCAACGCGAAGAACCUUACCAAGGCUUGACAUAUAGGGAAAUCUCAUAGAGAUAUGAGGUCCGCAAGGGUCCUAUACAGGUGGUGCAUGGUUGUCGU
RNAcentral lists this ribosomal RNA (262 nucleotides) under uncultured bacterium. Its description in RNAcentral is "partial 16S ribosomal RNA". It matches the Rfam family "Bacterial small subunit ribosomal RNA", at positions 793 to 1055 of the family's 1533-position model. The record is from RNAcentral.